GGAAUAUAAGAACCCGUUUUUUAACUUUUAACUAAAAAAACUAAGAAUCGGUUCUUAAAUCUCUUAUUUAAGAGCCGAUUCUUACCUUUUUUAGUUAAAAGUUAAGAGACAGAUUCUUAUAUUCC
This is a non-coding RNA of Brassica napus (rape), 125 nucleotides long. The record is from Rfam. NCBI's taxonomy places the organism in Eukaryota, Viridiplantae, Streptophyta, Magnoliopsida, Brassicales, Brassicaceae.